CAGCCAUUGAAAUGAUGUCAAGAUGUAUAUUUACUUAAAAAGAAAAUACAACAGAUUUUUAAAAAAAUUAGUUAUGGAAUCAUAGAACAUUUUGAGAGCAUUUUCUAAACUAGAAAUCUAAAUUUCUAAAUCAUGGAUAUUUCUAAAUAUCCAUGUAUUUCUUAAUUUAUGCACUACCUUGAAAGGUACAGAUCAUGUACAUUAGGAUAUGUUUUACCCUCCUCUACAGGUACUCUCUCUGACCUCUUCUGCUCUGAGGUUACAUGGAUGAGCUCCCUCGCACUCUGACAUCUAGUUGGUUUGGACCUUAUAAGGCACUGCCAAGAACAGAAAGAGUAUUGAAAGUGCCUAUUCCUCAGCUAUUUCCUUGCAGACUGUAACCUGAUGGUGGUCACAUGCCUUGACCAAGGGCCAUAACUCCUGUCAAACAGUUAAACCCUAAACCUAGAGUUUCCACUGACCAGUAACAAUGGCCUCGUCUUUAAACCCAAGAGAUAGGAUGAUUUCACACUGGUCGAUGUAUGCCCAGAACUUUUUCAGCACUCCUUAUCAUUAUAACUUCAUGCCCUUACAGAUUUGCUGAAGAACAAUGGGAAGAGAAGACAAAUUUCACCAGGUAUUAGAAAACUUGAUACACCUCCUUACAGGUAUCCAAAGAACAGGAGAAAUUAUAGAAAAUAUUAACACUGAAGAAAUGAAUAAUAUGAGAUGACAGAGAGGAAAAAGAACUGGAUUCAAGAAAUAAAGAAAAUAGCAGAUAUGCCA
Molecule: long non-coding RNA, 765 nt
Filed under: Vulpes vulpes (red fox)
Lineage: Eukaryota; Metazoa; Chordata; Mammalia; Carnivora; Canidae
Description: lncRNA (ENSVVUG00000003319.1)
Source: RNAcentral